Long non-coding RNA from Salvia splendens (bonfire salvia), 539 nucleotides. RefSeq lists it as uncharacterized. Lineage: Eukaryota; Viridiplantae; Streptophyta; Magnoliopsida; Lamiales; Lamiaceae. The transcript is spliced from 4 exons. The record is from RefSeq and is a predicted model, not a curated record.
CAAUUAAGCUCUAUAUAAAUAUAGGUAUAUUAAUUGAUGUUUGAGUUCCAAGUCAACCAUUAAUGGCAGCCUCCUCCUUGUGGAAUCAUCCCGCCGGCCCCCAAAACCAUUCACUUCUGGGCCCCAACCUUCAAAUGGGGUUUAAACAAUAGCAAACGUUGCAGAUUUUAGUAAGCCACAUGAAAGCAUCUCAUAUCCUCAACAAAUAGGUAUGCUACGCGUUUAUAAUUCUUGUCAAUUUAAUUAAAUACUUAAAAAAGAAUGAUGUCUUUUAUAGCUCUUGCUGCUUCUGGACUCAUAUGGGCUCGUUACACUACUAUAGUUACCCCGGGAUUUGUCAACUUGCCCGCAAGUCUUGGAUUACUGAUCCCAAAAAUACGCUGCAAGAUGUGUGACAGCCAUCAGUAGAAUUUGAUGCAGAAUCACAGAUGGACCCUUUGUGUCAAACGAGAAUAUGUACAUGUAUAAAACAUUAUUAAAGUCAGAACAUGAAUUCUGUUGAAUAGUUCAAAAAGGGUUAUUAAACUCAUAAACUCAGA